Brachypodium distachyon (stiff brome) is the source of this 151-nucleotide long non-coding RNA. RefSeq lists it as uncharacterized. The transcript is spliced from 3 exons. The record is from RefSeq and is a predicted model, not a curated record. Lineage: Eukaryota; Viridiplantae; Streptophyta; Magnoliopsida; Poales; Poaceae.
GAGCACAGGGUUGUGGGAGAGCAAUACAAGCGUUGUGCUGCUAGGCGAAGCGGUUGAGUGCCGCACCCUAGAUGGCUAAAGUCCAGUAGCCGAAAGCAUCACUAGCUUACGCUCUGACUCGAGUAGCAUGGGGCUCGAGAUCGGAAGACCG